GUGUCUCUCCAAAAAUUUUUAAAAGGAUGGUAGGUUGGUGAAGGUUUUUUUUUAUUUUUUUUUUUAUUUAUUUUAUUUUUUUUUUUUUUUUUAUUUAUUUUUUUUUUUUUUUUUAUUUUGGUCUAUUUGUGUUCUAUUUUAUUGUUUCUUUUGGUCAAGGGUCCAUGGUCAUGGUAACCCUGAGUUCAAGAGGCUUUGAAAAUAAAAUAAUAUAUAUAUUUAUGUACAUAUGUAUUAAUUUUUUAUUUGUAUUAUUUUGUUUAUAGGUUUAGUUGUUUCCUAUUGGUCCAGGUUCCAUGGUCAUGGUAGCCCAAAGAGAAGAAAAGAAAUUGGGAUAUUUUGUUAAAUAUAAAUUGGUUCCCUAGUGAUUAUUGUUGCAGGAUCCAAGGGAUCAAUAAAGAUAAUUAUAAAGUACAUUUUUAAGAGUCUGUAGUCAUUGUAGCUCUCAAAUACUAUAAAAGAACUAUUUUAUGGUCAUAAUGGCCACCUUUAUAUACCUAGGGGAGCCUACUGGUAAAAGGGCCGAUGGCUAAGUAUUAGUGUCUGUCUGUCAGCAGGGUUGGGACCAAGAAUGAGGUGGGGGGGGCACACAUGCAUACACACAUGAACAUGAAAGGGGAUGUGCCUAUACACAUAUUUUUUACAUAUACAAAAGCAUAAACAUACAACAGAUAGCAUACAACGGGACACAAUACAUUGUAAGGGACAGACAGGGUUAACAACAUGAGGUCAGGUACAGAUACAUGUACACACACACACAUACACAGAGGGGUUGGAACUGGGGUUGCAGUUCGGGUUAGGGGCCAGGGCUAAGGUGUGGGGAAUUGUAUAGGAGAAGUGGACUCUUUGCUUUUGGGGUGCUGUUUGGGUUGUGGGUAUCCGAGAGGUACCAGGUGAAUUUUAAGUAGGACUAGAAGUCCUGGGGGUCAAGAGGAGCCAUACGUGGAGUUCCUGUGAUGUGUAGAAGUAAGAUAGAUCCUCCUAUGAAAAGUGUGUAUUUGACCUACGUGUCACCAUUGACUUGUGUGUUAGCGUUGGGAGCGGUCUGCUCUGGUAGGGGUUUGGGGUUGGAAAUACCCGAAGGUAAGGUUCUGUGGGUCCAGGAAAGGUAGAGGGUAGAGUGGACAUCUGUGGGUUCCUAUAGAAUUUUUAGUUGGGUUCUGGGUAACCCAUAGGUCUGGUGAUAGGUCUUUGAAUGUGGUUUAGUUAUUUUUCCUCCGAUUUUUGUUGAGUCACGUUGCUUAUAUGCAGUAAGGUGCGAUGUGCAGGGAAAAGUAGUGGCCGUGGUUUUUAGGUCUUUUUGUGGUGUUAGAGGGCAUGAACCUUGUUUCUUUAUUAAGGGGUAGUGGCAGAUAGGAUAACUAGGGGGGUGUUCCUUUAACCCGGAUCGAAAAUGGUGCUGUUUUUAUCUUUUCUAGUUGGCGCUUGUUAGCGGAGUUUUAGCUUUGAUCGCGUUCGUGUCCACUUGGGUUCCCGGAUAUGCGGUAGAUUUGGCUGUUUUGCGGUGUUCAAGUCCACUUGGAUUAUGGGAUGUACGGAUCCGAAAAAGCUUUUUGUUGCUGUUUUUUUUUUUUAUAUGGGUGGGGGUCUAACCUAGGUUUUGGUGUGAGUGUGGUGGGCCUAUAAUGUAAUUUGUAUCAUUUUUUGCCUGUUGGAGAUACGUUCGUCAGGAUGGGUAAAAAGUCUCUUACACCUGUGUCAGUGUAGUAAGUCCAGUUCUUUGUUGAAAAAAAGUCUUUCCCUUUAGCUGAAAAAGGGUAGUGUCUUGAGAAAAAAACCUUUAUCUUGAGUAAAAAAAGGUGGUAUCUUUGAGAAAAUCCUCUUUAGUUGAAAAAGGUAAAAUCUUGGAGAAGAAGUCUUCUUUCGUUGAAAAAAUGGAGGGGGUAGUGUUCAUCAAAAAAAAGUUUUUGAGUAUGUUGUAGUAGAGUCCAGGUUCUUUAGUAAAAAGUAAGAAAUAAAAAGUAAAAAAUGCUUUUGAGUUGAAAAAAAGUAGAGUAGGUAGUGUACAUCCAGGGGUCAGGAGUAGAGUAGGGUUAUUUUAGUUGGUAUAUAAUCUAAUGAUUAUUUUUAACCUAUUCACCAUCAAACCAAUCCUGAGGGUGCAAGGGUGGAGAAAAAACCUUUGUAUAAGGCUGGAUUUGGGAGGAUCCCAGUGAGUGUAAGGGAUAAAAAGUCCUUGGCUUGCUGCGUCCAUACCCUACAUCCGGCAACGCAGCGGUGACUCGCCAAGUGUUUGGUUUCUAGUUUUGAGUCGGUUGAUCCACUUCCAUCUCUGACACGUGGAAACCGGAGGGGGGAAGGGAGGGGUUGCACUCCACAUCAUAUACGCGCGGGUCGGAGGGUACGGGCGCGGCCGGCCAAAGUCGCAGGCCCCAUGGUAGCCCACUUGUAGAUUAACCCGUUGGUUGGGUUAAAGGACUGUCUGUCUGUAGGGUUAGGGUUGGGUUAGGGUUAGGGUUAGGGUUAGGGUUAGGGUUAGGGUUAGGGUUAGGGUUAGGGUUAGGGUUAGGGUUAGGGUUAGGGUUAGGGUUAG
Long non-coding RNA from Oncorhynchus tshawytscha (Chinook salmon), 2533 nucleotides. NCBI's taxonomy places the organism in Eukaryota, Metazoa, Chordata, Actinopteri, Salmoniformes, Salmonidae. The record is from Ensembl.